GGGGGCGUCACGGCUUCGACGGGAUUGCUUGUGGCAGGGAGGCAUGCCGGGGUGGGUACACCCGUAAUCGCGCCCAAAACUAUAAGUGCCGAACCUCAAUUCGCACUCGCUGCUUAAUUAACUAAGUAGCCGAUCGCUUCCGCUUCGCCUAUGGGCGGAUACCGAUCGUCGCACAGUAGGCUGGUCCAAGGUGCUCCGUCUGUGCGCCAAGGAUGAGAUCGAUCAGACUGGUGGCUUGCUCAUCUUCGCCCGUUCUCAGGGCAGGCUACGAGACAAAGAUGAACGAGGAAAAGCAUGAAUGCUCUCUGCUAUCCGUAGUUUCGGACGUGGGUUCAACUCCCACCGCCUCCACCA
This 354-nucleotide transfer-messenger RNA is filed under the name Acidobacteriaceae. Its description in RNAcentral is "Terriglobus sp018268855 Standard tmRNA". It matches the Rfam family "transfer-messenger RNA". From Rfam's summary of the family: Bacterial tmRNA, also known as 10Sa RNA or SsrA, is named for its dual tRNA and mRNA-like properties. Its role is to liberate the mRNA from a stalled ribosome. To accomplish this part of the tmRNA is used as a reading frame that ends in a translation stop signal. The record is from RNAcentral. RNAcentral also lists the same sequence under 1 other name. Lineage: Bacteria; Pseudomonadati; Acidobacteriota; Terriglobia; Terriglobales.